RNAcentral lists this ribosomal RNA (511 nucleotides) under Hydrophylax leptoglossa (Assam forest frog). Its description in RNAcentral is "partial large subunit ribosomal RNA". It matches the Rfam family "Bacterial large subunit ribosomal RNA", at positions 1915 to 2597 of the family's 2925-position model. The record is from RNAcentral. Lineage: Eukaryota; Metazoa; Chordata; Amphibia; Anura; Ranidae.
AAACUUUAACGGCCGCGGUACCCUAACCGUGCGAAGGUAGCAUAAUCACUUGUUCUUUAAAUAGGGACUAGUAUCAACGGCAUCACGAGGACUGUACUGUCUCCUUUCUCUAAUCAGUGAAACUGAUCUCCCCGUGAAGAAGCGGGGAUUAAACUAUAAGACGAGAAGACCCCAUGGAGCUUUAAGCAAUGUAUUCACCCCUGCACCUUUACAUCAACCAAACAUAAGAGACCUGAAUACUAGCUUUAGGUUGGGGGGACCACGGAGUAUAAUAUAACCUCCAUGACAAACGGGCUACGCCCUUAUCCACGAGCUACAACUCUAAGAAUCAAUAAACUGAUGUUUUAUGACCCGAUAAUUCGAUCAACGAACCAAGUUACCCUGGGGAUAACAGCGCAAUCUACUUCAAGAGCCCAUAUCGACAAGUAGGUUUACGACCUCGAUGUUGGAUCAGGGUAUCCCAGUGGUGCAGCCGCUACUAAUGGUUCGUUUGUUCAACGAUUAAAACCCU